AGUUUGGGAAUGCUGCUCAAAAUGGGAGGUAUAUUUCUUCUAAAGCUAAAUACCGGCCAGAGACCGAUAGCGCACAAGUAGAGUGAUCGAAAGAUGAAAAGCACUUUGAAAAGAGGGUUAAACAGCACGUGAAAUUGUUAAAAGGGAAGCGCUUGUGACCAGACUUGCGUCCGGUGAAUCACCCAGCUCUCGCGGCUGGGGCACUUCGCCGGCUCAGGCCAGCAUCAGCUCGCUGUCGGGGACAAAAGCUUCAGGAACGUAGCUCUCUUCGGGGAGUGUUAUAGCCUGUUGCAUAAUACCCUUCGGCGGGCUGAGGUACGCGCUC
RNAcentral lists this ribosomal RNA (325 nucleotides) under Colletotrichum kahawae. RNAcentral describes it as "partial large subunit ribosomal RNA". It matches the Rfam family "Eukaryotic large subunit ribosomal RNA", at positions 271 to 602 of the family's 3401-position model. Lineage: Eukaryota; Fungi; Ascomycota; Sordariomycetes; Glomerellales; Glomerellaceae. The record is from RNAcentral.